This 729-nucleotide ribosomal RNA is filed under the name uncultured Lachnospiraceae bacterium. Its description in RNAcentral is "bacterial SSU rRNA". It matches the Rfam family "Bacterial small subunit ribosomal RNA", at positions 42 to 772 of the family's 1533-position model. The record is from RNAcentral. Lineage: Bacteria; Bacillati; Bacillota; Clostridia; Lachnospirales; Lachnospiraceae.
GCGUGCUUAACACAUGCAAGUCGAACGGGAAUUACUUUAUUGAAACUUCGGUCGAUAUGAUUUAAUUCUAGUGGCGGACGGGUGAGUAACGCGUGGGUAACCUGCCUUGUACAGGGGGAUAACAGUCAGAAAUGACUGCUAAUACCGCAUAAGCGCACAGAGCUGCAUGGCUCGGUGUGAAAAACUCCGGUGGUAUAAGAUGGACCCGCGUUGGAUUAGCUAGUUGGUGAGGUAACGGCCCACCAAGGCGACGAUCCAUAGCCGGCCUGAGAGGGUGAACGGCCACAUUGGGACUGAGACACGGCCCAGACUCCUACGGGAGGCAGCAGUGGGGAAUAUUGCACAAUGGGGGAAACCCUGAUGCAGCGACGCCGCGUGAAGGAAGAAGUAUCUCGGUAUGUAAACUUCUAUCAGCAGGGAAGAUAAUGACGGUACCUGACUAAGAAGCCCCGGCUAACUACGUGCCAGCAGCCGCGGUAAUACGUAGGGGGCAAGCGUUAUCCGGAUUUACUGGGUGUAAAGGGAGCGUAGACGGCGCAGCAAGUCUGAUGUGAAAGGCAGGGGCUUAACCCCUGGACUGCAUUGGAAACUGUUGAGCUUGAGUGCCGGAGGGGUAAGCGGAAUUCCUAGUGUAGCGGUGAAAUGCGUAGAUAUUAGGAGGAACACCAGUGGCGAAGGCGGCUUACUGGACGGUAACUGACGUUGAGGCUCGAAAGCGUGGGGAGCAAA